RNAcentral lists this unclassified non-coding RNA (720 nucleotides) under Hevea brasiliensis (rubber tree). Lineage: Eukaryota; Viridiplantae; Streptophyta; Magnoliopsida; Malpighiales; Euphorbiaceae. The record is from RNAcentral.
GAGCUUUUUGACCAAAUAACCAGAGUAAGCUAAUAUAAGAAAUUCUUGGCAGCAUUUAAUUUCAUUGUGGGACAAAACUUCUAAUUUUUCUUGGCAGUUGGCUGCACCAAAGUGAAAGCAAUUUAUGUGUAAGGCAAUUUACAAAACCACAUAAAAAAAAUUGUCAAAAACUGCCUACUAUUCAGAAAUUCAACAUUCCUAAACCAAUUAUUAGUAUGAGCAGAGGAAGCUUUUUCCUCUUCCUCAAAUGCUAUCCUGGUGUGUUCCUUCCAUCCAGCUAUUAGCAACAUUUUUGUGAAGCAUGGAAGCUGAAAGCUUAAAUUUUGAAUUAUGUCGUCCGAAUAGGUGCAUAAGAUGAUAAAUUUCACCACGCAUUCUUGAAUCAUUUGGUAACUGUACAUUGUUCUAAAUAUAUCUAGAUUAUAGCUCUGGCUUUUUGUCUACAAUAUGACUUUAACUACGUCAAAAGUUGCAUUUGAAAUGUAUUCCCCAUUUGAGAUGCACAAAAAUUUAAAAGCUGAAUGUUUAUAACUUUGAAAUCUGUUUUUAUUCGAUCAGUAUAUGGUGCAUUUUGCUUCCUUUUUUAUUGCAUUUUAGAAAUUAUGUGGAUAAUUUGGAUGUGUGCAGAAAGGCCGUUUAUCGGAGGAUGAAGCUCGCUUCUAUGCUGCAGAAGUUGUGGAUGCUCUUGAAUACAUACAUAAUAUGGGAUUAAUACAUCGA